Molecule: ribosomal RNA, 254 nt
Filed under: uncultured bacterium
Lineage: Bacteria
Description: partial 16S ribosomal RNA
Rfam family: Bacterial small subunit ribosomal RNA
Source: RNAcentral
UACGUAGGGUGCAAGCGUUUGUCCGGAAUUAUUGGGCGUAAAGAGCUCGUAGGCGGUCUGUCGCGUCGGCUGUGAAAACCCGGGGCUCAACCCCGGGCCUGCAGUCGAUACGGGCAGACUAGAGUGCGGUAGGGGAGACUGGAAUUCCUGGUGUAGCGGUGAAGUGCGCAGAUAUCAGGAGGAACACCGGUGGCGAAGGCGGGUCUCUGGGCCGUAACUGACGCUGAGGAGCGAAAGCGUGGGGAGCGAACAGG